Molecule: small nucleolar RNA, 68 nt
Organism: Leptomonas pyrrhocoris
Lineage: Eukaryota; Euglenozoa; Kinetoplastea; Trypanosomatida; Trypanosomatidae
Source: RefSeq, a predicted model, not a curated record
GCGAGGGAUGACAGACAAUUCGACAACAAAGCACAGUUUGACCUGAUGCAUCGCUGAACGACAACGUC